RNAcentral lists this ribosomal RNA (447 nucleotides) under uncultured Eubacteriales bacterium. RNAcentral describes it as "bacterial SSU rRNA". It matches the Rfam family "Bacterial small subunit ribosomal RNA", at positions 938 to 1382 of the family's 1533-position model. The record is from RNAcentral. Lineage: Bacteria; Bacillati; Bacillota; Clostridia; Eubacteriales.
CAUGUGGUUUAAUUCGAAGCAACGCGAAGAACCUUACCAGGGCUUGACAUGCCGCUGACCGGUGCAGAGAUGCAUCUUUAUCCUUCAGGGUACAGCGGACACAGGUGGUGCAUGGUUGUCGUCAGCUCGUGUCGUGAGAUGUUGGGUUAAGUCCCGCAACGAGCGCAACCCUUGUCUUUAGUUGCCAUCAUUAAGUUGGGCACUCUAAAGAGACUGCCGAUGACAAAUCGGAGGAAGGUGGGGAUGACGUCAAAUCAUCAUGCCCUUUAUGUCCUGGGCUACACACGUGCUACAAUGGUCGGUACAACGAGAAGCAAGCCAGCGAUGGCAAGCAAAUCUCUAAAAGCCGAUCCCAGUUCGGAUUGCAGGCUGCAACUCGCCUGCAUGAAGUCGGAGUUGCUAGUAAUCGCGGAUCAGAAUGCCGCGGUGAAUGCGUUCCCGGGUCUU